Molecule: long non-coding RNA, 267 nt
Filed under: Elaeis guineensis (African oil palm)
Lineage: Eukaryota; Viridiplantae; Streptophyta; Magnoliopsida; Arecales; Arecaceae
Description: long non-coding RNA (EGUI_LNC065847)
Source: RNAcentral
GGUUCCUAAAGAUAGAGAGCAAUCUGAGAUAGUUUGUGUUUAGCUUAUACCAGUUUAUGUUUAUUUUUUAAUAUUUUUAUUUAUUCUAAGAUGAAUUGUGUUUAUUUCAAUAAGAGUUAGUGUUUAUGCUUCUUUCUCUUGUUUAUCUUGGGAGGAUCCUUAGAUCACCCAACUUGUGGACUCCAAGUAUGUGUUUAUUCUAUGGGGUUUGUAUUUAUUUCAGCAGAAUUUCUAUUUAUUAUAUAUAUUUUAUUUUUAUUAUAUGGC